UACGUAGGGUGCGAGCGUUGUCCGGAAUUAUUGGGCGUAAAGGGCUCGUAGGCGGUCUGUUGCGUCGGGAGUGAAAACUCAGGGCUUAACCCUGAGCCUGCUUCCGAUACGGGCAGACUAGAGGUAUGCAGGGGAGAACGGAAUUCCUGGUGUAGCGGUGAAAUGCGCAGAUAUCAGGAGGAACACCGGUGGCGAAGGCGGUUCUCUGGGCAUUACCUGACGCUGAGGAGCGAAAGUGUGGGAAGCGAACAGG
Molecule: ribosomal RNA, 253 nt
Filed under: uncultured bacterium
Lineage: Bacteria
Description: partial 16S ribosomal RNA
Rfam family: Bacterial small subunit ribosomal RNA
Source: RNAcentral